This 885-nucleotide long non-coding RNA is filed under the name Citrus maxima (pomelo). RNAcentral describes it as "long non-coding RNA (CMAX_LNC003904)". Lineage: Eukaryota; Viridiplantae; Streptophyta; Magnoliopsida; Sapindales; Rutaceae. The record is from RNAcentral.
UAAAACCUUAAAUUAAUAAAUCUACCACAAACAUAAAAAGUUAACAAACAAAAAAUCAAAAAUAUGUCUCGAACAAUGUUCAAAUAACACAUAACAUGUUCAAAUAACAAGUUCAAAUAAAAAUAAAUCAUAAUCCCAAUUACUCCUCAGUUGCUUGUUCUUGUUGAGCUAGUAUUGGCCUACCAAAUCAACCUCCACCUCUUGCACUUCCUCCUCAUCAUAAUUUUCCAUUCUUCACAAAAAAAUCAACAUCACAGCAGCAACAAAUCAACACAACAGCAGCAACAAAUAAAAAGAACCUGAUGCUCAAUAAUUCUACUAACUAAUAUCAAUUGUACGCACAGAGAACAAUAUAUGUGCAAGAAUUGAUUCCCAUAUUCAUUGAUAAAUAUAGACUCCUUAAUUAAUGCACCGAAUCAGUGUACAAUUUGAGCAAGUAGCUGGCUAGGUAAAGUUGUAUAGUCAAAAUUUCAUGAAUUAAAAGUAGUAAAUAACAAAACAUCUGUAAAGGUGGCUUUAAGUUCUUUUAUUAGUUUUCUUAUUUUCCAAAGAUCAGAGAUCCCUGGAGAAUGUUAAACAUCAACUUACAACAAGCCAUCACAACACAUACACAAUAAAUUUAAAUCAAAGCAGAAUAAGUUGAAAUCACAAGGCACAACCAAAUGAAUAAUUUGCAUUCCAGCAAAAUUUAAGUUCGAAAAAUGAAUUAAGGCUGCGAUACACAGCCUGCUGGGGAAAGUGGCCCUUCUAUGUUUCCCAUCACGUGGUGAAAAGAAAAAGAAAAAAAAAAGAGAAAGAAAUGAAGAAUCAACUCACAAGUUGUAGCUUUGUGGAGAUCACGAUAUUUCCAGAUGACAGCGGCUGCGGCGACGAGCAGCAGUGACG